Molecule: long non-coding RNA, 1183 nt
Organism: Malus domestica (apple)
Lineage: Eukaryota; Viridiplantae; Streptophyta; Magnoliopsida; Rosales; Rosaceae
Source: RefSeq, a predicted model, not a curated record
UUUGAAAACCACAACUUCUUAAAACUAAAACCAUCUCUACGCCCAUACAAAGUCAAAACCACAAAAUUUUCAAACCAAAAGCAACAGCAAAAGCACAAGUUCUUGUCCAAAAGAUGAAGAAAGCCAAAACUACCUCAACACCCAUACAAUCUCUUCCCAACGAACUUCUUCUCCAAAAACUGAUAAAGGUUGCGUCCCGGUACCUGUUUUCAGCAGAGAUGGUGUGCAAGAAGUUCAACCAAAUCGUUCAAGACGACCACUUAUUCGAACACGUCAACAUUAGGGAAUUUGAAGGCUUCAACCCCCUUACUUCAUGGACCAAUAAGGAAGAUGUCUCCAAGUUCUUGAAAUGGUGUAGGGAGUGCGGCAAUUCCUACGUCUUGUACAUGCUAGGGAUGACAUACUUCUUCCAAGACAAUAAGAAAGAAGUCAGAAUUGAGGCUAUGAAGAUGGCGAUCUCAAAGGAUCAUGAAGUAGCAACAUACGUCUACGAUUUCAUCUUGUUGUCAUCUUGGUGCUUACGUUAACAAAUAAGUAAAAAAGGUAAAGUUUAUUGUUCUAGAAAACCCUCUUUCUUGCUGCUUUCUUCUUCAACCGAGGGAGAUGAAGAGGUUCCUCUCUUUUAGCUCUUGCCAAAAUUUUAGGAGGAGGAACUUAGUUUUCUUUUCCUUUGCUUGUGAAGAUUUGGACUAGUAAGAUUCCUUCCUUCGUCUCCAUUAGAGAUAUGGAAGAGAAGGAUAUCAGGUGACUACGGAGCAGGUCGACAAACACCGUGGGAGUUGAACAUCAACAAAUUUUGUUGAGGUGGUGUAAGGUUGACUACCUGAGUUUUGAGUUGCAGCUCUAUUGUGGACUAGUAGAAAGGAGUCCUAACGUAUAUAUCUUUUGGGUGAGCUGCGAAAGUAUUUUGUCUAGUUAGUCUUAGUCUGUAAAUGACCCUUUUGUAGCAUUGUAAAUUAAGAUGACAUGGGCCACAAUGAGUCUCCACUUACCAGGGCAAUGUGAACCAUGUAACAUUUGAUCACUUGUCUUUUGACAUUCAUAAUUUCUGCUCAUGUUUAUUUUCAUCAAAUGACCUGAACAUGUUUAUCGUGUAAGAAGCCUUGAAGUUUCUUUGGUGAACUCGUUAAAAUCUGUGAGGCUUGAUCUGUUACAUUUUGAGAACCAUUAUGAAAUUUGGUUA